This 622-nucleotide ribosomal RNA is filed under the name Hymenogaster raphanodorus. RNAcentral describes it as "eukaryotic LSU rRNA". The stretch from base 242 to 395 matches the Rfam family "5.8S ribosomal RNA". The record is from RNAcentral. Lineage: Eukaryota; Fungi; Basidiomycota; Agaricomycetes; Agaricales; Hymenogastraceae.
AGGAUCAUUAUUGAAUGAACUUGGUGUGGUUGUUGCUGGCCCCUCUCGGGGCAUGUGCACACCUGCCAUUCUCAUCUCUCCACCUGUGCACCUAUUGUAGACCUGGAUAGACUUUCCGAGGCAACUCGGUCGGGAGGAAUGCUGCAUCAGCUUUCUUUGCGCUUCCAGGCCUAUGUUUUUCAUAUACCCGUAGUAUGUAACAGAAUGUAUCAUUGGGCUUCAAUGCCUAUAAACCUUAUACAACUUUCAGCAACGGAUCUCUUGGCUCUCGCAUCGAUGAAGAACGCAGCGAAAUGCGAUAAGUAAUGUGAAUUGCAGAAUUCAGUGAAUCAUCGAAUCUUUGAACGCACCUUGCGCUCCUUGGUAUUCCGAGGAGCAUGCCUGUUUGAGUGUCAUUUAAUUCUCAACCUUAUUAGCUUUGCUGAUAAUGGCUUGGACAUGGGGGUUUUCUUUUGCCGGCUUCUUCACCGAAGGGUCAGCUCCCCUUAAAUUCAUUAGCUGGUGCCCCACCUGGACUGUCUAUUUGGUGUGAUAAUUAUCUACGCCGUGGAUGUCUUCAAAGGGUUCGCAUUGCUUCUAAUAGUCUGUUCAUUCGGACAAUACAUGACAAUUUGACCUCAAA